RNAcentral lists this ribosomal RNA (482 nucleotides) under uncultured bacterium. Its description in RNAcentral is "partial 16S ribosomal RNA". It matches the Rfam family "Bacterial small subunit ribosomal RNA", at positions 28 to 507 of the family's 1533-position model. The record is from RNAcentral.
GUUGAACGCUGGCGGCAUGCUUUACACAUGCAAGUCGAACGGUAACAUGCUGCAAGUUUCUGUCGAGUGGCGACCGGGUGCGUAAUGCAACGGAACGUACCCAGCCGUGGGGGUUAACUACUCGCAAGAGUAGCUAAUACCUCAUACGAGCUAUGGCUGAAAGCCGGGGACCGUAAUGCCUCGCGCGAUUCGAGCGGCCGAUGUCAGAUUACUUAGUUGGUGGGGUACAGGCUCACCAAGCCAACGAUCUGUAGCUGGUCUGUGAGGAUAAGCGGCCACACUGGCACUGAGAAACGGCCAAGACUCCUACGGGAGGAAGCGGUGGGGAAUUUUGGACAAUGGGCGAAAGCGUGAUCCAGCAAUGCCGCGUGCACGAAGAAGGCCUUCGGGUUGUAAACUGCUAUUGUUCGGGACGAAAAGGCUCUGGUUAAUACCCGGGGGUCAUGACGGUACCGAAAGAGUAAGCACCGGCUAACUACGUG